This 468-nucleotide ribosomal RNA is filed under the name uncultured bacterium. RNAcentral's name for it is "partial 16S ribosomal RNA". It matches the Rfam family "Bacterial small subunit ribosomal RNA", at positions 28 to 507 of the family's 1533-position model. The record is from RNAcentral.
GACGAACGCUGGCGGCGUGCUUAACACAUGCAAGUCGAACGGAAAGGCCCUGCUUUUGUGGGGUGCUCGAGUGGCGAACGGGUGAGUAACACGUGAGUAACCUGCCCUUGACUUUGGGAUAACUUCAGGAAACUGGGGCUAAUACCGGAUAGGAGCUCCUGCUGCAUGGUGGGGGUUGGAAAGUUUCGGCGGUUGGGGAUGGACUCGCGGCUUAUCAGCUUGUUGGUGGGGUAGUGGCUUACCAAGGCUUUGACGGGUAGCCGGCCUGAGAGGGUGACCGGCCACAUUGGGACUGAGAUACGGCCCAGACUCCUACGGGAGGCAGCAGUGGGGAAUAUUGCACAAUGGGCGGAAGCCUGAUGCAGCAACGCCGCGUGCGGGAUGACGGCCUUCGGGUUUUAAACCGCUUUCGCCGGUGACGAAGCGUGAGUGACGGUAAUGGGUAAAGAAGCACCGGCUAACUACGUG